Small nuclear RNA from Jaculus jaculus (lesser Egyptian jerboa), 107 nucleotides. The record is from Ensembl. NCBI's taxonomy places the organism in Eukaryota, Metazoa, Chordata, Mammalia, Rodentia, Dipodidae.
GUGUUUGUUUAGGAAGCACAUAUACUAAAAUUGGAAAGAUAUAGAGAAGAUUAACAUGGCCCCUGCACAAGGAUGAUAUGCAAAUUUGUGAAGCAUUCCAUAUUUUU